Molecule: ribosomal RNA, 460 nt
Filed under: uncultured bacterium
Lineage: Bacteria
Description: partial 16S ribosomal RNA
Rfam family: Bacterial small subunit ribosomal RNA
Source: RNAcentral
CCUACGGGAGGCAGCAGUGAGGAAUAUUGGUCAAUGGGCGCAAGCCUGAACCAGCCAAGUAGCGUGAAGGAUGACUGCCCUACGGGUUGUAAACUUCUUUUAUAGGGGAAUAAAGUGAGCCACGUGUGCCUUUUUGUAUGUACUUUAUGAAUAAGGAUCGGCUAACUCCGUGCCAGCAGCCGCGGUAAUACGGAGGAUCCGAGCGUUAUCCGGAUUUAUUGGGUUUAAAGGGAGCGUAGAUGGGUUGUUAAGUCAGUUGUGAAAGUUUGCGGCUCAACCGUAAAAUUGCCAUUGAUACUGGCAGCCUUGAGUACAUUUGAGGUAGGCGGAAUUCGUGGUGUAGCGGUGAAAUGCUUAGAUAUCACGAAGAACUCCGAUUGCGAAGGCAGCUUACUAAACUGUAACUGACAUUGAUGCUCGAAAGUGUGGGUAUCAAACAGGAUUAGAUACCCCUGUAGUC